AUAAUGGUACUUCUGUCCAGCUACAGUCCGAGCGGUAAUGAAGCAUGACUUCUAAAUCCGUCACAGGCAAUAGGGACAGCUCCGGGCGAUCCCCGGAGGGGUUAGACUCCCAUG
Molecule: non-coding RNA, 114 nt
Filed under: uncultured Eubacterium sp.
Lineage: Bacteria; Bacillati; Bacillota; Clostridia; Eubacteriales; Eubacteriaceae
Description: pemK RNA
Rfam family: pemK RNA
Source: RNAcentral